This 474-nucleotide ribosomal RNA is filed under the name uncultured bacterium. RNAcentral's name for it is "SSU rRNA". It matches the Rfam family "Bacterial small subunit ribosomal RNA", at positions 26 to 518 of the family's 1533-position model. The record is from RNAcentral.
AGAAUCAACGCUGGCGGCGUGCCUAACACAUGCAAGUCGAACGAGAAAGUGGAGCAAUCCAUGAGUAAAGUGGCGACCGGGUGAGUAACACGUGACUAACCUACCUUCAAGUGGGGGAUAACCUCGGGAAACCGGGGCUAAUACCGCAUAACAUCUUUGGAGUGGAAAUUCUGGAGAUCAAAGGAGUAAUUCGCUGGAAGAGGGGGUCGCGGCUGAUUAGCUAGUUGGCGGGGUAAUGGCCCACCAAGGCUUUGAUCGGUAGCCGGCCUGAGAGGGCGCACGGCCACACUGGAACUGAAACACGGUCCAGACUCCUACGGGAGGCAGCAGUGGGGAAUUUUGCGCAAUGGGGGAAACCCUGACGCAGCAACGCCGCGUGGAGGAUGAAGUCCCUUGGGACGUAAACUCCUUUCGACCGGAGAUUAUGACGGUACCGGUGGAAGAAGCCCCGGCUAACUUCGCGCCAGCAGCCGC